RNAcentral lists this ribosomal RNA (484 nucleotides) under uncultured bacterium. RNAcentral describes it as "partial 16S ribosomal RNA". It matches the Rfam family "Bacterial small subunit ribosomal RNA", at positions 30 to 507 of the family's 1533-position model. The record is from RNAcentral.
AUUGAACGCUGGCGGCAGGCCUAACACAUGCAAGUCGAGCGGAUGAAGGGAGCUUGCUCCUGGAUUCAGCGGCGGACGGGUGAGUAAUGCCUAGGAAUCUGCCUGGUAGCGGGGGAUAACGUCCGGAAACGGGCGCUAAUACCGCAUACGUCCUGAGGGAGAAAGUGGGGGAUCUUCGGACCUCACGCUAUCAGAUGAGCCUAGGUCGGAUUAGCUAGUUGGUGGGGUAAAGGCCUACCAAGGCGACGAUCCGUAACUGGUCUGAGAGGAUGAUCAGUCACACUGGAACUGAGACACGGUCCAGACUCCUACGGGAGGCAGCAGUGGGGAAUAUUGGACAAUGGGCGAAAGCCUGAUCCAGCCAUGCCGCGUGUGUGAAGAAGGUCUUCGGAUUGUAAAACACUUUAAGUUGGGAGGAAGGGCAGUACGUUAAUACCUUGCUGUUUUGACGUUACCAACAGAAUAAGCACCGGCUAACUUCGUG